UAACGUCUUGACAAGGGAUAGAGGCCUCUUGUUGACUUCCAGGGCGUGUGGCAUUGGCGAAACCAUUUAGUGUCAUCAAGCCGCUGUAGUCACAUCUUGACCUGUGCUACGUGUACAUGAAUGAUGGCCAGAAGAUUCUAAGGAUUAAGGAAGGCGACGCUUCCUGGACUCUAGUAACGAUUUGGUCUGUACCGGUCGUUUCGUUUGCAGUUCAGGAUGAUGGUACACUCGUGUUUUGCGAACAGGAGGGAUCCAUAGCUACCUUUAAUCCAACCACAGGGAUAUUUUUGCAGCUGAAAUUGCCAACUAUUAAUGCUGAUUUCUGUGAAGAUAUUGCACUGCGCCAUUGUGAUGGCAGGAUCUACGUUGCAUUCAGGGAAGAACAACAUAUUGAGGUUUACGACGAAUCUACUUUGAUUCAAGACUUGCAAUACACUCUGAAUAACGCAACAUCAUGUCCAUCUCUUCUGCUGGACCCUCGAAGAUGCUGAGCCUUAUUCGAGGAAGAUCGGGAUGGGAGACCGCGUUAUCAAUUGACUAUGUAACCAUGUCUACAUGUAUCCAGAUAGCAAUAAAAGCUGCUUGCACUAAC
Long non-coding RNA from Haliotis rubra (blacklip abalone), 592 nucleotides. RefSeq lists it as uncharacterized. NCBI's taxonomy places the organism in Eukaryota, Metazoa, Mollusca, Gastropoda, Lepetellida, Haliotidae. The record is from RefSeq and is a predicted model, not a curated record. The transcript is spliced from 6 exons.